AGCAACCGCAUGGUUGCUACUUGAAAGAUGGUUCUGCUAUCACUAAGAGAUGGUCCCGCGGCGCAUUAGUUAGUUGGUGAGGUAAUGGCUCACCAAGACGAUGAUGCGUAGCCGAGUUGAGAGACUGAUCGGCCACAAUGGGACUGAGACACGGCCCAUACUCCUACGGGAGGCAGCAGUAGGGAAUCUUCCACAAUGGACGAAAGUCUGAUGGAGCAACGCCGCGUGUGUGAUGAAGGGUUUCGGCUCGUAAAACACUGUUGUAAGAGAAGAAUGACAUCAAGAGUAACUGCUUGGUGUGUGACGGUAUCUUACCAGAAAGGAACGGCUAAAUACGUGCCAGCAGCCGCGGUAAUACGUAUGUUCCAAGCGUUAUCCGGAUUUAUUGGGCGUAAAGCGAGCGCAGACGGUUUUUUAAGUCCGAAGUGAAAGCCCACAGCUUAACUGUGGAAGUGCUUUGGAAACUGGAUGACUUGAGUGCAGUAGAGGAGAGUGGAAUUCCAUGUGUAGCGGUGAAAUGCGUAGAUAUAUGGAGGAACACCAGUGGCGAAGGCGGCUCUCUGGACUGUAACUGACGUUGAGGCUCGAAAGUGUGGGUAGCAAACAGGAUUAGAUACCCUGGUAGUCCACACCGUAAACGAUGAGUGCUAGAUGUUUGGGGGUUUUCGCCCC
Molecule: ribosomal RNA, 672 nt
Filed under: Weissella sp.
Lineage: Bacteria; Bacillati; Bacillota; Bacilli; Lactobacillales; Lactobacillaceae
Description: bacterial SSU rRNA
Rfam family: Bacterial small subunit ribosomal RNA
Source: RNAcentral